This 301-nucleotide ribosomal RNA is filed under the name uncultured bacterium. RNAcentral's name for it is "partial 16S ribosomal RNA". It matches the Rfam family "Bacterial small subunit ribosomal RNA", at positions 509 to 807 of the family's 1533-position model. The record is from RNAcentral.
CAGUCGCCGCGGUAAUACGUAGGGUGCAAGCGUUAUCCGGAAUUAUUGGGCGUAAAGAGCUCGUAGGCGGCUUGUUGCGUCGGUUGUGAAAGCCCGGGGCUUAACCCCGGGUCUGCAGUCGAUACGGGCAGGCUAGAGUGUGGUAGGGGAGAUCGGAAUUCCUGGUGUAGCGGUGAAAUGCGCAGAUAUCAGGAGGAACACCGGUGGCGAAGGCGGCAACCUGGUCCUUGGCUGACGCUGAGGCGCGAAAGCGUGGGGAGCAAACAGGAUUAGAUACCCCCGUAGUCCCUGUCUCUUAUAC